AAAACGACUCUCGGCAACGGAUAUCUCGGCUCUCGCAUCGAUGAAGAACGUAGCGAAACGCGAUACUUGGUGUGAAUUGCAGAAUCCCGUGAACCAUCGAGUCUUUGAACGCAAGUUGCGCCCGAAGCCUUUAGGCCGAGGGCACGCCUGCCUGGGCGUCACA
RNAcentral lists this ribosomal RNA (163 nucleotides) under Pyrus pyrifolia. RNAcentral's name for it is "5.8S ribosomal RNA". It matches the Rfam family "5.8S ribosomal RNA". Rfam says of the family: 5.8S ribosomal RNA (5.8S rRNA) is a component of the large subunit of the eukaryotic ribosome. It is transcribed by RNA polymerase I as part of the 45S precursor that also contains 18S and 28S rRNA. The record is from RNAcentral. Lineage: Eukaryota; Viridiplantae; Streptophyta; Magnoliopsida; Rosales; Rosaceae.